This 301-nucleotide ribosomal RNA is filed under the name uncultured bacterium. RNAcentral describes it as "partial 16S ribosomal RNA". It matches the Rfam family "Bacterial small subunit ribosomal RNA", at positions 509 to 809 of the family's 1533-position model. The record is from RNAcentral.
CAGUCGCCGCGGUAAUACAGAGGGUGCAAGCGUUAAUCGGAAUUACUGGGCGUAAAGCGCGCGUAGGUGGUUUGUUAAGUUGGAUGUGAAAGCCCCGGGCUCAACCUGGGAACUGCAUCCAAAACUGGCAAGCUAGAGUACGGUAGAGGGUGGUGGAAUUUCCUGUGUAGCGGUGAAAUGCGUAGAUAUAGGAAGGAACACCAGUGGCGAAGGCGACCACCUGGACUGAUACUGACACUGAGGUGCGAAAGCGUGGGGAGCAAACAGGAUUAGAUACCCCAGUAGUCCCUGUCUCUUAUAA